RNAcentral lists this ribosomal RNA (253 nucleotides) under uncultured bacterium. RNAcentral's name for it is "partial 16S ribosomal RNA". It matches the Rfam family "Bacterial small subunit ribosomal RNA", at positions 524 to 776 of the family's 1533-position model. The record is from RNAcentral.
UACGAGGGGGGCAAAUGUUGUUCGGAAUCACUGGGCGUAAAGGGAGCGUAGGCGGGUUCUUAAGUAAGGUGUUUAAUCCCGGGGCCCAACCCCGGACCGGCACUUUAAACUGGGAACCUUGAAUAGUGGAGAGGUCAGUGGAAUUGGGGGUGUAGCGGUGGAAUGCGUAGAGAUCCCCAAGAACACCAGUUGCGAAGGCGGCUGACUGGACACAUAUUGACGCUGAGGCUCGAAAGCAUGGGGAGCAAACAGG